This 239-nucleotide unclassified non-coding RNA is filed under the name plant metagenome. RNAcentral describes it as "partial contains small subunit ribosomal RNA, internal transcribed spacer 1, and 5.8S ribosomal RNA". The record is from RNAcentral.
UUUCCGUAGGUGGACCUGCGGAAGGAUCAUCAACAAAACAAAAUUCAAAAAAAACACCAAUUUCAUUCCAAAAUUUUAUUGGAAUGUUUUUUAAUGGGGAUGUGGAGAUUAAUUAAAAAAAAUUUCUCAUGCCCCAUCAUUUAAAAACUAAACUCCUAAAAUUAAAUUAAAAGAUUAUUCCAAAAAAUUUUAAAAUAUAAAAAUAGAGACAACUUUUAACAAUGGAUCUCUUGGCUCUC